Long non-coding RNA from Struthio camelus australis, 11471 nucleotides. RefSeq lists it as uncharacterized. The record is from RefSeq and is a predicted model, not a curated record. NCBI's taxonomy places the organism in Eukaryota, Metazoa, Chordata, Aves, Struthioniformes, Struthionidae.
AGCCCAGGCUAUGAGUGCCGGCUCUCCGCCGGGGCACCCACCCUGGCACCGACUCCAGCAGCCAGCUCGGUGCGAAGGCGUGGGGGCCGGGGAGUCAAAGAGAGAAGCGCUUGGGCCAUCAUAAAAUUUGCAAGCAAGGAAAGGUGAGGCUUGGGCAGAGGGAGGUGGAUGUUGUGGCAGGCAGUGCCUGGGGCGAGAAACACAAGCUUGUCCUGCCGAGAAAGCUCCUUUCCAGCAGUGCCUAGCUCCUGCCAAGGCAUUUUCCAGACGGGUCCUUGGCAGCCAGGAGGUCGCUGUGCCGACUCACACCCAUGCUGAGCUGCCCCUUCCCCGGCUCAAAGCAGAAGCAGCUGCUGAAGAAAGUCCCAGGUGCAGCUUCCCCAUGUUACCGCAGGCCUUGUUGCUUAUUUACAAAAGGAGUUCAUGCUGUCUCGCCUUGAUUAGGUUUGAUAUAAUUACAGUUCUUCCCAGGAGUUCCCAGGAGCUGCAUCCCAGAUUGUUCUCACCAGGAAGAAGUGAAGGUGGAGACCCAUUAGCUGUUUGUGUGGGAAGAAACCAGGCCAUCUCAUCCCACCUGUCUCCCCGGCAGAGGGUCUGAUUCACAGCAGGUCUUGCUUUCCCUGUGGUUAGUUAUGUUUCAUUUUUGACCAGGCAUUUCAAAGUUUGAUACAAAAUGCUUCAGUGAGUCAGAGGAUGAAAGCCUGACUGUUUCGACUGACUGGGCCUUCAAAAACCUACAGGGCCAGAACAGAAACCAGACAGGUGUGCGACCAGCCACGCUCUCAAUCAACCUGCUACCACGGCUGUUUUACUUCCUGACUUGCCUUGGAAAGGGCUUUCUGGUUCCAGAGAAACUCCUUUCCGGGGGCUGCAGCAGGGUGCACCAACACCACUCUGUAACCACGUCCUGUUUCCCUGGAUGCUCGUCCAGCUGAAGAUGGCUAGGGAGAAGAGCGCUGCACCUAGCCGCUUGCGAAGGGCAGAUUUGAAGUGUUGGUGGUUGGCAUUUGGCACAGCCAGCGCAAUGCUGCUGAGCGUUUCUGUGCUCGCCCCUUUUCAUAUUGACCCCGGCUUGGAUGCUGUCCCCAGCUGGGGCAGCACAAAAGGCUUAGCACCAUCUUUCUUAGCACAGUUCUUCUUCCUGCUCCUUUUCUGCUGUGUGCUCUUUUGUAGGCCGCAGAUCUGCCCAUGCUUACGGAUGAUGCUGAGCACCCAAGAAAACAGGUCUCCAAGAAUGGGGUUCCCCAGUGCCUGCUGAAAUGGAUUGAUCAGUAACUUACCCAGGAUUUUCACUAGGACGGGACUGUUGGGAGAAGGAAAACGGUGCUCCCUCCAUCCAAACAAUGAGACUACUUGCGUAGUGAAAGCAUGAGCAAGUCUUAGCAGAACCCGGACUCACGAUGAGCAACAGAGCUCUGGUCUCCCCCAUGACUUGAGAAUCGCACUGGUUUUAAUGAGGUGCUGCGAUGUGAACCGGCAUCAGGAAGGGCUGCAGAUAGAAAAAGCACAUCAACAGCCUGCAAGCCAGGAGUGCCCCAAAGGAGAAAGCAUCAAAAUAGAGCCAUAAUUCUAACCACUGGGCAAUCAGGACCAUAAAGCCAGGCUGGAACAGCCCCGCUCUUGCGGAGGAGAGAGGCAUAUCAAACAGCUGGGACACGAGUCAUCCCAGGUAAGAGUAUCAGGAUCUGCCUCACCACAAAGUCAAUAUGCCCAGUCUGUAGUGGGGAGGAGGCAGUCUGAGAGGUCAAGUUUCUUGGUGCUCUUGAGAAAUGUCAGAUUUGCACGUACACACGCUGCAAGCCUUCAAAACACAUCACUCGGGAGUCUAUAGAUAGAACCUGCUCUCUUCUAGGAAAUAUAUCACCCGCCCCCGGUGAAAACUAUCCUAAAAGAACUGCAAGCCAUUUCUGAAGAGAUACUAGCAGUCUUACAACUCAGACAUUCCCAGACAACAUACAGGGACCAAGGUCCUCAGACAAUUAAUUUUGCAUCUUCAGUCAGUUCAGGCGGACGCUUUUUUGAAAUAAGAUCGGGAAAUGACUUGCACGCUUUUAGAAGGGUUAGAAAUUUCCCCUGAAGCUUCAGGAGGAACAUCAAGCUUUUCAAGGCUUUUCAUGAGGGAGACAGACAUCUUGGCUUCUUACCAGGAGGGCUGUGAUUAGGGCACAGCCCCAACUCUGAACUGGAUCAGGCUGGUCAGGAUCAAUGUUGUAUCUCCCUUUAGCAGCUAAGUGUCCACAUAAUCCGAUUUUGAGCAGAAGUUCCAUCCUUUGCUGACAAACAGCAUUGCUCAGACUAACGUAUUGCUGCAAAAAGCCUUUCUUUCAACCAACUGGCAUUUUAUCAAGGAAUCCCCAGCCUGUUCAGAUUUAUACCACUUGGAAGCAUAUGCCAAAAGCUGGAAUAGAUAACUCAUCUGAACAAGACCAUUUUAGAAGCUCUGCGGAGCAAGGCCUGAGCUGAUGGGCUGGAGAGAGCAACAAAAUCGAUUAGUUUCUUUGCACCAAGCCUUAGAAGAAGUCUUAACAUCUUCAGAGACUGAGGCUCAAGCAUGCCAUGUGUCAGAGUGGCGUCACUACACAAGCUGACAAUCCAACAUUUUUGGAUUUAGAAUGGCUUCAAAACAUAUCUUCCUGACACUUGUUCAUCAGCUGAUUUAUUGCACUGAGUGCCAGCUUGACUUCCUGCCAUCAGUAACGCAGUGCCGUCAAUAUCUCGGCUUUCAUAUCAUUUAUCUGGCUGGUUCGUCUGUUCUCAAAGUAUCAUCUCACUUAGCAGUGAAUUUUUCUGUGAAGUGCUCUCUCAAACAUGCACAAAAACCAUUCAAAAACUAUUGGGGGAAAGCAUAGAACAAGUGUUUUUGCUGUUUUCUGUCUGGUUUUUAUAUGCAACUGUGAUUAUUGUAACAACAUGGUUGUGAAUGUGAAUAUGAAAAUGAAACUGAGAGGAGAACAUGGCAGUUGAACAUGGGCUCGUCCUUUUUAAUUGUAAGUCAGCCUGCCAGCCCUGCGCUUGGUGUGAAGGGAGUUAGUGGUGUGUCCAUCCUGCAGAGCAUGCUGGAGAAAAGCCAUAUCUACAUGAUGACCAACUCCAGUAGCCAUCACUGCCACCUUGGGAGAAGGAAAAGGAAAAGAAGGGGGGAAAAGACUCAGUUCAGAUACUGACCUGCUUCUUGAAGGUGUGCCAUGUGUGCCACAGGGCUCAGCAUCUGUGAGGCCUUGGCAAGUCACGCAUCACCCUCAUGUGAUGACUGGAGAGAGCAGCCCUGGUUAUCAGAGCAGCUGAUACUCAGUGUCAGCUUUGGCGCUACCGCACGUGCUAUGAGAGAUUCAGGUCAGUGGUGCCACUGGUGGCUCAUGCCAGCCUUACAAGUGGUGACAUUUCUGGAUAUCUCAAUGGGGAGGGGAUUCCUGAAGCUAAGGCUGAGCUCCCUCCACCCAAAGGCAGUGACAUCCACUCAGUAAAUGCCAAGUCUUUUGCUUCAGUGCAGAGAAUAGAAUCCAGAGCAGUCAAAAUCUGGAGGGAGACAAGGUGGUGGCACUGCUUGAGAGAUCCAUAAUUGGGAGAAGCCAAGCAAUCAGGUCAGAACAAUUACAGGUUCCAAAUGUACAUCAUCGUUCUGCUAAUUCCUAACUCUUCCCCUGCUCCCUUCUCUGCUGAUGCUCCAGUCCCCACUUUGGUACCUGCCAGGUCCUUUUAGAGAGCUGACAUUUCCUUUCCUGACAUUUUCUGCAGCUCCAUCUGGGAAUUAAUGGCCGGAUAUUAACAGCGAUGGGGCCGUUUAUCAUAAUUAGUCUCAUGAAGCUACUAAGCAUCCAACUAUUUUUCAUCAGCGCCGAGGAAAUAAACUGCAGAAUCCAGUAGACGAGACGGACGAUUUAUUUAUUGAUUGAUUUAUUUUGGUCUGUCAGGAUGUGGCUUUAAAGUUUGUGGAGAUGAGCAGUGCUUCUUGGAGGCAAUGACGACAGUAGGACUAGCUCGCCUUGGGCGCAUAAGCUGCAGAAAAGUGGCCCUGGAACCCCCGGAGAUGGCGAGGAGACAUUUGUUAUCCUACAUCUGCUCUAGCCUCCUCUUAUAUAAACGACAAGUCGCGACAGGCUGAGUCCUGACUUGGCAAGCUUAUGAAGAGACAUCCACUAGCCACAUGAUGGCACCAUAAAUGAAAGCCAUCUCAACGCAUGCCUUUUUUUCCACAUCAGGAAAGUGAACAGAGGGUGCUGUUUGCCCUGAAGGAGAUGGCGCGUGGCUCAGCAGCUCAAAGGCAGUCAGUUGGCCAGGUGGUCCCCAGAACCCAGUGCUAAAGGAGGAUGCUGCAGACAGCACGUGUCUGUGUCCCCUUCCAUAUGUGCCUGGUCACUGUUUUCUUAUUUGUCAUCUCAUUCAGAACAGAGUGAAACUCUGCCUUCGUGUUGUUUUUCUUCUCCUUCAAGGGAUCAGCACUGAAGGGCAGGCAGGCAAAGUCUCAUGCGCAAGAGAGACCAGACUGGGUCCCUUGCAGGCAGGGGAAGGCCUCGAGGAGGAGCUGGGUCUCAUCAUCAGCCACCUUCUCCGGGGCAGAUGAGCUCCACCCUGCAGAAGCUGACACCCGCUGUGCUCUGAGUCUUACUUUUUAGGAGCCAAUGCAGUACGUUGUCUGUGUUUCUAUGAGCUUGGGGACUCGAGAAAUAUGCCUGAGCCUGCAUUCCUCUCUGAGGGAAGCUGGUCACUGAGCUGCUGAGAUCCAUCAGAUGGUGAGAUCUAACCCGAUGGCUAUAGCUCUGGGCCAGGAGCUUGCUGGGGCAGUGGCAGCUGUCUGUGCUGAUUUCAGUAGCUCUUCCAUCAGCUUGGGAGUCCAGAUGACCACCCCACAUGACAGUGGUAUUGAAUGGGAAGAGAUAGGAUUGCAGGAAUGUGAAGGCUCCGUUUCUCUCUGGUUUAUCCUCUCCAUCCCUCUGAUCUCUCUCCAGCCGAUAGAGUUAAGCAUUCAGAGAACUCAGGCGUUUUGUCCUCUACACGUCAGACCAUGUCUUUGACACAGGUCUCUCUGCCUAGUAGAUGUCAAGCACAUCAGGGGAGGAAGAACUGACCGUUCAGAGCAAACAGCCGUUCUCCAUACAGCUGUGCUAGAGCUUCCUAUUUUCCUUGCAACAUCCCACCCCCACCGCUUUGGACACGCAAGGGAGGCAAUGCAGCCACCCUCGACUCCUCCCUAGAAGGCUAAUCCAGGCUAGUCCCUCACCUGAUUGCUCCGUCGUCCUCACCUGCACUGUCCUGGGUAGUCCCAGGGAGCUCUCCUACAGAUGAAUCAAGUCUUUGGGUUCCUGUUCCCCAUCCCGCACCCCUGACCACCUGAUCAGCUCUUGAGGCAGUUGAUCUGACUCUGGCUCAGGAGCCAGAGUUGGGCGCUGGAAGGACUCUUUUGCCUCUAAAGGGACAAGGAACAGUGUAAAGGCCAGAAGCUGAACAGCCCUAACUGUACCUGCACAUAGCAGGGCACUUCCAGCUGGAAAUCAGUAUCUCAUCCACAUGAACAAGAAAAGGACUGGAGGAAGACCUCACAUACACCCACUGCAAGAAGAUUUGAAUGUGCCUUUGGACAUGUUUUGCAGUAGGUGCAGACCCAUCCAAGGUGUUCCCGGAACCAGAAGCCAGGGGCACACAGUGGCCAGCAGACGCAACUUGAAAGCUCGUGCCAAGGCCACAGGAAGCAGCAUGAGAUAACAUGCCUUGUGAAAACCCUGUCGGGGUCAGCUCGCCUAAUUCUGCAUGAUGUCUAGUCAGGGGCUGGCACUUCUCUGCCUGCAGCUUCCUGUGCCUCUGUUUCAAGGCAAGAAGCGAGGAUUGCAUGACCCUGUGGAGGUUCUGCCACAGAGGCCUUCCAAGGCUUCCGGACGAACUAUUGGUCCUCCUCUCUAUAGCUGUGAGUACCUCUGACAUGUAGCUACAACUCUACCAGUGCAGCUCAGUGCUCACCUGCAGCAGGCCUGCCCCCACGACUGCAGGCUGAUUAUCAAGAGCUUUCCAUCCUGAGGUUUGCUAUGCAAACAUCAGACAUUUGUGUUUAAAUAUUACACUCUUCUGCUGAUGUGAAGCUAGUAAUUACAGCCAGAUGGGACCUGGCUCACAGGCAGACACCAGGCCCACACACUGCUGGGUGGCAUUUUUUUUUAAAAACCAUGUGGCCAGCCACCGGGAGGAAGAUCAGAAAAGCUGAAUGUAAUUAAAAACAGCAAAAAAGGGGGUUUCUAAUUAUACCGCAUAGCAUAUUCCAGGUGAGAGCUAAGUGUUCCUGGCUGCAGUGCUUGGCAGCCUGAAUGCUAUACCUGGGACACGCUCCAAGCCAGUGUGUUCAAGCCACAGAUCUCUCUAGGCACAGCCUGACAGUGACAUGCAACAAUUUGGUAUUAGCACCUCCUGCAGUAGCAAGAGAGCCUGAUCCUGCAACCUCUUCCUCACCUGAAUAAGAGCCAUUUGCACAAGUGCCUGAUUCAGCCAUACAUUCUGGUCAGGUCUGUAAGACGCUGUGAUUUUUAGCCUCUCUAAGGAGUUUGGGGAGCAAGCAGGGCUUCUGCUAAGUCGAUGAAACUCCAGGGGAUCUUGCACCAGGCAUCAGCCCCAGUCCUCAGGGCAAAGGGGUCCCGUUCCUAUUGGGAAGAGACAGCAUGCCUAAGACUGCAUGAGGCCAACAGUAGCCUCAGCUUGAGCCUUUGAAGAGGAUAGCUACCCGUACCCAGGCCCACUUGUUGGCCUCUGAGCUGGCGUCUGGGCGAAAGGUCUGAGUUUGGGGGUAAUGCCAUCAAGCUGUGGGAGAGACAUGCCCUUCGCUAUCUCUGGAACCAGUUCUCUCCCUUCUUUUUUAAUGCCUCCUCUGCAAAGCCGUGGAGUAUUACAUCUCUGAGUAUGCAGUGUGGCGUGAGCAGCCUGGUCACACCUAGCUUUGGGGUACAGCCCGCACUGUGAAAGGCAGAUCUGAAACCCAGCCAAGUAGUCCCUCUGUAUGUGUUACACUUCCAGGGCCACCACAUUGCUAGUGUGAGCUCCCAUCUGCUGCUGCCUCCUCACCUGCUAAGUUUAGAGAUCGUCUUCUCUCUGCUUGCAUGCCUGAACACAUUUCUGUCUUGCACAAGCUGCCUGAGGUAGGAAAUACUUCAUUUGCCACCAGCUCCAGGAUUUCAGCCCUGAUUCUGUUCAAGGCAGAACAAAAGCAUUGUAGUUAGUGGUGGAGUUUUUUCCCCAGAUGAUUCUAUCUCAAACAUCCAUAUUCAGCUUCAACAUCUGAUUGUAUUUUUUAAAUAGAGAAUCCGCUCUCCUCUUGCCUCUCUCCUUCACAUUCAGCAGACCCAAAGGGUUAGCAGGGACAGACCAGUCUAGGUAAAAUGGCUCACUGUGUGUCCUACCCAGUGUUUGUGCUGUAUGCACACACCGCACCAAGUGCCUAGGAAGCUGCCCUCCCCCUGCACUGCAGACCUGAUUGAGCUCUAGCAGCCUCUGUGAUACAGAUAAUAGCUGCCAUUCGCAACCUGAAAUACAGGCUAAAUCUAGCUAAUCAUGCACAAUUUUGAGCAGUUCUGGUAAAGAAACCAUUGCAGGUGACACUCCAAGGGAAACAAGAGCUAUAAAUGCUACAGCCUUUUCUCUGCAAAUCAAUGUAUCUCCUUUUAACCUCCAUCUUCCCACUAGCCACCCGUUCCCCAUCUUAGUAACAAACGCUCCGGCACGCUCUGAGAAUACUCCCAAGCCAAGCGGUGCAAAGUCAUAGCCCAGUUUCCUGCCCAAACAGCCAGGAAUGUUUAAUUCCCCAGGACAAUUGCUGGGAUGUAUCCUGCAUAUUAUAACAGUCAGCAUUAUGCAGCCACCUGCUCACCCAUCCAGAUGUAUGAAACAUACUGCAGUCAGCCCGCCAAACAGGAGCCAGUGUCUCUGGUUGCAAGGGGAAGAAAGAGAGAAAGCAGCAGAAUGGAAAAAGAAGGAGGUUCAGGAGAUGCAAUAGUAAAUUUUUUUUUUUUUUGGUGAGAAAUGGUAGAGCCAUGGCAAAUACAUGCUGUAAUUUGAGACAAGUGCCAAGCCUAGGAUACAUUUGCCUCCAUCCUGAUCCCCAAGGAAAUCAGAAUCACCCCUUGGUGAGAGGCAGGGAAGGAGAGAUGACGAUAUACGCUGUGAGACAAAAUCCUGAUACAUCCAUAAGCCUACACCAAAACUCUUGGAUCCCGUCCUCUGAGGUUCACCAGCAAGAAACCUGUGACCAUCAGAUGCUUCUUCAUGCUUCCUUUGGCUCUCAGCUGCCCCAUCUCACUUUUGUACCUCCUCCCUGAGGACCUCCUUCUCCCUUUCCCUGUGCUAUGUGGACUUCUAACUUCCUAAAUCUUUCUCAAAGGAUCAAGAGGAGAGCUUUCCAAGGGUGCUUAAUAUUUCUGCUCUCAUACACGCUGGGAGAGGGUGCAUGGGAGGGAAGGAAAGGCCUCAAGGCCUCUCUAUUUUCUACAGUCAAGGGCAGAACUCUUGCAUGCCAUUAUCAACUGCCACAGAGAUGUGGCAGCCUUACAUGAUGCUGCUUGGGUCUAUGGGGGCUGAGUUGUACUGCUAUCGCCUUCAUGAAUAAUGGACCCACCUCCACCUUCUGCCUCCCCUUCCCUGUUAGAUCCCCCUUCCUGCUGUGAAUGUCUGGAAUGGUUGUUUGCUCUGUCUCGGGGGCUGAUCUGAGCAGGCUGAGUCCCAGCUCCGGUUCCUCCCUGUUCCCAGAUACAAGUGUUAUACAAGAGGGCACCAAGAAAAUUUCAAGCAGUAAUUAGCAAGGGCAUGAGAAGGAUCUACCUCUUGCAUUUGGUAGGGGUUUAAGGUAUUUCUAUUGCUUCUACUGAAGUUGAGACGCUCCUGUUGUCAGGGCCCUGAGCGCCCUAAUAGGCCUUAAUGGCCCUCACCUGGGGUCUCCGCCCACUCCUUCUGCCCAUUGCUCCAGGAGCUCCAUUUGAGCUCAGCCCUGGGUUGGGUGUGUGGUCCUUGCCUGAGCUAUGUUAUAGGUGAAUCUGUCUCUUGUUCUGCCUUUGGCCCCUUCUUCUGGAUGGAUCUUGGACCUACAUUGUAGGUAGGUCAUCUCCUGGAUGGCCUCCUUGGUUGGAUGUGGUAAUUUGUUUCCAGUCCUGUCUUUGGCCUUCUCUCUUCUAGCUCUUGCCUCUGUCAGGACUCUUUGGAUGGGCUCUGGAGUUGCUUCAUCACUUCACCUUGUCUGGGACUGUCUAGGCCCCUGUCACCAGAAGCUGGCUCUGCCUGCUGUGUUUUGAUGCUGUGAGGCUGCCUCCUGGCUAGUGAGGGUGCUGGCUGUGCUGGGGUUGCUUUUGGCUCCUGGCUUGCCUUCCCUUAGGGAGCAGCUGGUCCUUGCUGUUCCCUAACACCUAUAGUUUCUCCCUCUCUUCUGAUAUUUCACGUUUUAAAGACAAAAGUAUAGCUUCAGGGAGAAAAAAAUGCCCAUCAUUCUAGGUCUUUAAAAACAGAAAAACAAACAAAAAAAUCCCCGCCAAGUCUCUAUGGCUGAAAGAAGCUGGUCUACAGUCCUGGUGUGCUUUAGCAUCAAAGGAACCUUGCAGACCAUCUAUACAAUGUAGUUUUGUAAUUUUACUUCCCCUUUCUUUGGAAGUCACUUAGCUUUCUUUUCAACUUUACCCGAUGACCAGUAUUUUAGCUUUAUGCUUCUUCACAUGUCCCAGAUCCAACAGUGAGGUAUCCCUGACUUUAGCAUGGAAUUAAGCUAUGGUGUUUAGCUGUAGCUUGGGAGUCCCUUUCCUUAGGUCUGGUUGCAAUAGCACCACGACCAAGCCUUUGCGGAGUUUAGCUGAAUCUGUUUCAAGUGGCACUGUCGGUAUGUGUCAAAGCUGUGUUCCGAUCCCAGUUCAGAGCACUUCAUUGUCUUUCUCUGUCAGUCUAAUAGCUCCAAGCUGUGUAGCUGAGAAACACCAAACUUAGAUGCCCUUAUGUGGGACUAUAUUUUACCACUGCAUCUCCCUCUGCCAGUCUCACUUUGCAAUAGCUGCCAGCCCUGUUCUUUGAUCCCUACUGUCCUUGCUUUGUGUUGCUAUCCCUGCAUAUUUGCACCCUUUCACGGCCUCUGUGAGGAUAGCCUAUGUUGAUUGUUUUUUUCUUUUUUUUCCCCAAGAAAGAACUGGGAGGAUCUGCAAGUCAAAGCAAAGGGAUGGUUAAAAAACAUGCAAGUGGAAAAGUGGAGUCUGUGAGACGGAAAGCAUAAUGCUUGCAAACAGAGAGGAAGAAAACAGGGUCCUCAGUGACAGACCCCAGUGCAAGAGGCUUUUGGAAAGCCACAGGCUCAGUCUGUUGCCCUGGAAACCGAUGAUGCCCCUCACUAUUUUUGGCAGUAGGAAAAAGCCGUGAGUGCCGUAAUCCAGGCCCUGCUGCCACCACUGUCUUUCCCUCUUGACUUAAUAGAAGAGGGGAAAGAGGCUUUUAACAUUCCGCAGGUAGCAGCGUUAUCAUCUGGCCCUCAGCUUACAAGGGAUCUCGGGCUCAGUGCUGUUUAAUCUGGAUGGUCACGUCCCGUGGCAAACCUGGUGUCCUCAUGUCGAAAACUGCCGCCAGCCAAAAGCUGAGGGAGGGAUCACACGCCAUCUCCCCCAAGCAUCCAUGCCUGGCCACUGGCAGAGACAUGGUGCAAGGGGAGAUGAACCCCUAGUCUGACCCAAUAUUAAUCUAACUUUCCAAUGCUCAAUUAGUUUAUCCUGAAGUAGGAUUGAAAAAAACUAGUUUCUUCAUGUCUCCUGUCAAAACUUGUGUUGUUGUGCUUCCAAGGAUGAAGACUCUAUGACCUCUCUGGGUAAUCUGUUCCAGUGUCCGACUGCCCUUACAGUAAAAUUUUUUUGUCGUAUUUAAAGAGAAUUUCUUGUAUUUCAGUUUGUGCCCAUUUCCUCUUGUCCUGUCACUGACAAAAGUCUGGCUCUGCUGCCUUUACACCCUUUGUUCAGGUAUUUAUACAUGGUAAGAUUCCCCUGAGCCUUUUUUGUUCCAGGCUGAACAGUCUCAGCUCUCAGCCUCUCAUCAUACAUCAGAUCUUCCAGCCCCUUAAUCACCUUGUGGCUGUUUGCUGGAUUCACUCCAGUACAUCCAUGCCUCUCUUGCACUGGAGAGCCCAGCACUGGACCCAGCACCCCAGAUGUGUCUCACUAGGGCUGAGCAGAGGGGAAGGAUCAGCUCCUACCUGCUGUCAGUGCUCUUCCAAUGCAGCCUGGGUGUAUCCGAGCUCCCGGAGACUUGGGAAAGGAAGAGUCUUUAUGCUGCUGUCCCUAUGAAUUGUGCCCAAAUUUGGCCAGAGUUCAUAAACUUGGGCAAAAAGGGGCCCUAUAGGUCACAAAGGGUGACCGUUACAGAAUGAAACAUGCAUGCCAUGUACACAGAAACUGUCCAAAGACCAAUCUGAUUGCAGUAUGAGAAACACUAGGUCAAGCUCACUUGCACAGAUUUUAAUGUUUUAUUAUGCAGAUUGUAAUGGU